Long non-coding RNA from Maniola jurtina (meadow brown), 242 nucleotides. RefSeq lists it as uncharacterized. The transcript is spliced from 3 exons. NCBI's taxonomy places the organism in Eukaryota, Metazoa, Arthropoda, Insecta, Lepidoptera, Nymphalidae. The record is from RefSeq and is a predicted model, not a curated record.
UAAAUUAAAAUUUUGACGAUGAUUUAUGCUAGACCGCGCCGGGCCCAAGCCGUGCCGCAUCCGAGACACACAGAUCGGAAAAUGUAUGAGGUCACAUAAGACCGUGCCAUGUCCGAAUCUUCCGAGCCUCGUCCGUGUUACGUUUCUUCAUACAAAAUUGCAAUCCGUGGAUCGUCGGCGCGUCGGACGUGCCUCGAACGUGGCACGGCUCAUUCCCGGCACGGUCUAGCAUAAAUCAUCCC